GAUGAACGCUGGCGGCGUGCCUAAUACAUGCAAGUCGAGCGGACAGACGCGGAGCUUGCUCCUCUGACGUUAGCGGCGGACGGGUGAGUAACACGUGGAUAACCUACCUAUAAGACUGGGAUAACUUCGGGAAACCGGAUCUAAUACCGUAGGAUAUAUUGAACCGCAUGGUUCAAUAGUGAGAGACGGUGUUGCUGUCACUUAUAGCUGGAUCCGCGCCGCAUUAGCUAGUUGGUAAGGUAACGGCUUACCAAGGCAACGAUGCGUAGGCGACCGGAUAGGGUGAUCGGCCACCCUGGAAGUGAGCCACGGACCAGAGUCCUACGGGAGGCAGCAGUAGGGAAUGUUCCGCAAUGGGCGAAAGCCUGACGGAGCAACGCCGCGUGAGUGAUGACGGUCUUCGGAUCGUAAAACUCUGUUAUUAGGGAAGAACAAAUGUGUAAGUAACUAUGCACGUCUUGACGGUACCGAAUCAGAAAGCCACGGCUAACUACGUG
RNAcentral lists this ribosomal RNA (497 nucleotides) under uncultured bacterium. Its description in RNAcentral is "partial 16S ribosomal RNA". It matches the Rfam family "Bacterial small subunit ribosomal RNA", at positions 28 to 507 of the family's 1533-position model. The record is from RNAcentral.